This 272-nucleotide ribosomal RNA is filed under the name uncultured bacterium. RNAcentral's name for it is "partial 16S ribosomal RNA". It matches the Rfam family "Bacterial small subunit ribosomal RNA", at positions 524 to 796 of the family's 1533-position model. The record is from RNAcentral.
GACGAACCGUCCGAACGUUAUUCGGUAUCACUGGGCUUAAAGAGUUCGUAGGCGGCCUAGUAGGUGAGAUGUGAAAUCCCACGGCUCAACCGUGGAACUGCGUUUCAAACCACUAGGCUUGAGGGAGAUAGAGGUGAGUGGAACAGAUGGUGGAGCGGUGAAAUGCGUUGAUAUCAUCUGGACACCGGUGGCGAAAAGCGGCUCACUGGAUCUCUUCUGACGCUGAGGAACGAAAGCUAGGGUAGCGAACGGGAUUAGAUACCCGGUAGUCC